CUUGAUUGCUAAUUGAUGUAAGAGCAUCCAUCUGCCGGUGGUGAAGCCACCUCUGGGCAGGAUCCUGUUUCUGCCCAUUCUUGAGUAGCUGCCUUGACUUCCCUCAGUGGUGGACUAUGAUUGGGAAAUGUAAGCCAAAUAAACCCUUUCCUCCCCAAAUGGUUUUGGUUGUGAUGCUUAGUAUAGCAUCAGAAAUAAAGAAGGGACACCUGCUAAUUUA
Molecule: long non-coding RNA, 220 nt
Organism: Mesocricetus auratus (golden hamster)
Lineage: Eukaryota; Metazoa; Chordata; Mammalia; Rodentia; Cricetidae
Exons: 2
Source: RefSeq, a predicted model, not a curated record